This 1295-nucleotide ribosomal RNA is filed under the name metagenome. Its description in RNAcentral is "bacterial LSU rRNA". It matches the Rfam family "Bacterial large subunit ribosomal RNA", at positions 1619 to 2925 of the family's 2925-position model. The record is from RNAcentral.
GAACCACGUUAAUUCAAAUUGGCCCGUACCCUAAACCGACACAGGUGGGAAGGUAGAGUAUACCCAGGGGCGCGAGAUAACUCUCUCUAAGGAACUCGGCAAAAUGGCCCCGUAACUUCGGGAGAAGGGGUGCCACCGAGAGGUGGUCGCAGUGAAGAGUCCCAGGCGACUGUUUACCAAAAACACAGGUCUCCGCUAAGUCGCAAGAUGAUGUAUGGGGGCUGACGCCUGCCCAGUGCCGGAAGGUUAAGGAAGUUGGUCAGGGAGCAAUCCUGAAGCUAGCGACUGAAGCCCCGGUGAACGGCGGCCGUAACUAUAACGGUCCUAAGGUAGCGAAAUUCCUUGUCGGGUAAGUUCCGACCCGCACGAAAGGCGUAACGAUCUGGGAGCUGUCUCGGAGAGAGGCUCGGCGAAAUAGGAAUGUCUGUGAAGAUACGGACUACCUGCACCCGGACAGAAAGACCCUAUGAAGCUUUACUGUAGCUUGUAUCGGGUUCGGGCUUUGAUUGCGCAGGAUAGGUGGGAGACUAUGAGAUAGCUCUUGUGGGAGUUAUGGAGUCACUGGUGAGAUACCACUCUAUCAAGGCUAGAAUUCUAACUUUGACCCGUUAUCCGGGCAGAGAACAGUAUCAGGUGGGCAGUUUGACUGGGGCGGUCGCCUCCUAAAUGGUAACGGAGGCGCGCAAAGGUUCCCUCAGGCUGGUUGGAAAUCAGCCAUUGAGUGUAAAGGCAUAAGGGAGCUUGACUGCGAGACUGACAAGUUGAGCAGGUACGAAAGUAGGCCUUAGUGAUCCGACGGUUCCGCGUGGAAGGGCCGUCGCUCAACGGAUAAAAGUUACUCUAAGGAUAACAGGCUGAUCUCCCCCAAGAGUUCACAUCGACGGGGAGGUUUGGCACCUCGAUGUCGGCUCAUCGCAACCUGGGGCUGUAGUCGGUCCCAAGGGUUGGGCUGUUCGCCCAUUAAAGCGGUACGUGAGCUGGGUUCAGAACGUCGUGAGACAGUUCGGUCCAUAUCCGGUGCAGGCGUAGGAACAUUGAGAGGAGUCUUCCUUAGUACGAGAGGACCGGGAAGAACGCACCGCUGGUGUACCUGUUAUCGUGCCAACGGUAAACGCAGGGUAGCCAAGUGCGGAGAGGAUAACCGCUGAAAGCAUCUAAGUGGGAAGCCCACCUCAAGAUGAGUGUUCCCAUGGCAAAAGCCAGUAAGGUCACGGGUAGACCACCCGUUAAUAGGCGCUAGAUGGAAGCCCAGCAAUGGAUGUAGUCGAGGCGUACUAACAGACCGAGGGCUUGAC